GUGGGGAAUAUUGGGCAAUGGGGGAAACCCUGACCCAGCGACGCCGCGUGAGGGAAGAAGGCCUUAGGGUCGUAAACCUCUGUUGUGUGGGAAGAAGAGCGUGACGGUACCACACGAGGAAGUCCCGGCUAACUACGUGCCAGCAGCCGCGGUAAUACGUAGGGGACGAGCGUUGUCCGGAUUUACUGGGCGUAAAGGGCGCGUAGGCGGUCAUUUAAGUCAGCUGUGAAAUGGUGCGGCUUAACCGCAUCAUGCGGUUGAAACUGGAUGACUGGAGUGCUGGAGAGGCAAGUGGAAUUCCCAGUGUAGCGGUGAAAUGCGUAGAUAUUGGGAAGAACACCGGUGGCGAAGGCGACUUGCUGGCCAGCAACUGACGCUGAGGCGCGAAAGCCAGGGGAGCAAACGGGAUUAGAUACCCGAGUAGUCC
Molecule: ribosomal RNA, 427 nt
Filed under: uncultured bacterium
Lineage: Bacteria
Description: partial 16S ribosomal RNA
Rfam family: Bacterial small subunit ribosomal RNA
Source: RNAcentral